GACGAACGCUGGCGGCGUGCCUAAUACAUGCAAGUAGAACGCUGAAACUUGGUGCUUGCACCGAGCGGAUGAGUUGCGAACGGGUGAGUAACGCGUAGGUAACCUGCCUGGUAGCGGGGGAUAACUAUUGGAAACGAUAGCUAAUACCGCAUAAGAGUAGAUGUUGCAUGACAUUUGCUUAAAAGGUGCAAUUGCACCACUACCAGAUGGACCUGCGUUGUAUUAGCUAGUUGGUGGGGUAACGGCUCACCAAGGCGACGAUACAUAGCCGACCUGAGAGGGUGAUCGGCCACACUGGGACUGAGACACGGCCCAGACUCCUACGGGAGGCAGCAGUAGGGAAUCUUCGGCAAUGGACGGAAGUCUGACCGAGCAACGCCGCGUGAGUGAAGAAGGUUUUCGGAUCGUAAAGCUCUGUUGUAAGAGAAGAACGAGUGUGAGAGUGGAAAGUUCACACUGUGACGGUAUCUUACCAGAAAGGGACGGCUAACUACGUG
Molecule: ribosomal RNA, 497 nt
Filed under: uncultured bacterium
Lineage: Bacteria
Description: partial 16S ribosomal RNA
Rfam family: Bacterial small subunit ribosomal RNA
Source: RNAcentral